This 67-nucleotide transfer RNA is filed under the name Mytilus coruscus. RNAcentral describes it as "tRNA-Tyr". Lineage: Eukaryota; Metazoa; Mollusca; Bivalvia; Mytilida; Mytilidae. The record is from RNAcentral.
CGUGGGAUGGCCGAGUACAAGGCGGUGAGCUGUAAACUCAUGAACAAGGUGUAGACCUUUCUUAUGA